UGGGGAAUCUUGCACAAUGGGCGAAAGCCUGAUGCAGCCAUGCCGCGUGAAUGAUGAAGGCCUUAGGGUUGUAAAAUUCUUUCAACGGUGACGAUAAUGACGGUAGCCGUAGAAGAAGCCCCGGCUAACUUCGUGCCAGCAGCCGCGGUAAUACGAAGGGGGCUAGCGUUGUUCGGAAUUACUGGGCGUAAAGCGCGCGUAGGCGGACUAUUAAGUCAGAUGUGAAAUCCCGAGGCUCAACCUCGGAACUGCAUUUGAAACUGUUAGUCUAGAGGUCAGGAGAGGUUCGUGGAAUGCCGAGUGUAGAGGUGAAAUUCGUAGAUAUUCGGUGGAACACCAGUGGCGAAGGCGACGAACUGGACUGAUACUGACGCUGAGGUGCGAAAGUGUGGGGAGCAAACAGG
Molecule: ribosomal RNA, 404 nt
Filed under: uncultured bacterium
Lineage: Bacteria
Description: bacterial SSU rRNA
Rfam family: Bacterial small subunit ribosomal RNA
Source: RNAcentral